AAGGGGUCGUAGCAGGGCUGGUAUGACCCUUGUGAAAUCGGUGGUAGUAGUGCCACGGGCGCGCAAGAGUUACUACCGGCCUAGGGGAUAGGGGAAGCCGAGGGUAUUCCCGGGGGAGCGGCGAAAUGCAGUAAUCCCUGGAAGACCACCUGAGGCGAAAGCGCUCGUCUACCCUACUCCCGACGGUGAGGACCGAAAGCUGGGGGAUCAAAAGGGAUUAGAGACCCCGGUAGUCCCAGCUGUCAACGCUGCGGGCUACCCUGUCGGGUGGACCUAGAGUCCACCCGGUGGGAAAGGGAAGGCGUUAAGCCCGCCGCCUGGGGAGUAGGGCCGCAAGGCUGAAACUUGAAGGAAUAGGCGGGGGGGCACACAA
RNAcentral lists this ribosomal RNA (373 nucleotides) under uncultured Nanoarchaeota archaeon. RNAcentral's name for it is "bacterial SSU rRNA". It matches the Rfam family "Archaeal small subunit ribosomal RNA", at positions 513 to 884 of the family's 1478-position model. Lineage: Archaea; Nanobdellati; Nanobdellota. The record is from RNAcentral.